Esox lucius (northern pike) is the source of this 1312-nucleotide long non-coding RNA. The record is from Ensembl. Lineage: Eukaryota; Metazoa; Chordata; Actinopteri; Esociformes; Esocidae.
CCUGCGUUUGCUUUUUUUGUUGAUCAGAAGUCUUGAUAGAUAACCAGCCAAUGUCAGCACUGGGAGCAUGUAACCAAGGGUUUUUCUCCUGCAGCCUGCAUGUAACCAAGGGUUUUUCUCCUGCAGCCUGCAUGUAACCAAGGGUUUUUCUCCUGCAGCCUGGAUGUAACCAAGGGUUUUUCUCCUGCAGCCUGCAUGUAACCAAGGGGUUUUUCUCCUGCAGCCUGGAUGUAACCAAGGGUUUUUCUCCUGCAGCCUGGAUGUAACCAAGGGUUUUUCUCCUGCAGCCUGCAUGUAACCAAGGGUUUUUCUCCUGCAGCCUGGAUGUAACCAAGGGUUUUUCUCCUGCAGCCUGCAUGUAACCAAGGGUUUUUCUCCUGCAGCCUGGAUGUAACCAAGGGUUUUUCUCCUGCAGCCUGGAUGUAACCAAGGGUUUUUCUCCUGCAGCCUGGAUGUAACCAAGGGUUUUUCUCCUGCAGCCUGUGCUUCCUUGCGGCUGUACACCACACCAUGAUCAAGUCCCUUUACGGUCCUCACAAAAUGAUGAAACUAUGUACACAGUAUGUACAUAGAUACACAAAUACUAGCUGACAUUUAACCUUACAGUAAUGGACAUUUCAAGAGUAGUCAGUGAAGAAGAUGGUUUGGAAGGCAAAGUAGGUUCCAAGCCCCACAGUUGAAGAGGUACAGAACUUGAUUGCGUCUUGGGUCAUCAUGUCUUCUAAUCCACAAUUAAAUGCCACCUCCAUUCCAAUAGCCUUUUUCUAAGGGUUGUCAGAAUAAAAGCAUUUAUUGAUAGCAAACCAUCUAAGUGUCUGGAGUUUGCUGAGUGACAUUUGUACUUGGAUCGGAACCGAGUGUUAUGGUCAGAGAAACAUGAAAAUAGAGAUCUUUGGCAUUGCAUACCAGCACUUAGUCUGGCAUUUAAAAUUGUUUAUGCAGAAAAUGUUUAUGCUGAAAACAACAGUGAACCAAAUGCAAAAUACAGUGGUGGAUCUUUGAUGUUAUGGGGCUGUUUCACUUCCUCUGGUCCUGGGGCCUUUGUUAAGCUCAACAGCAUCAUUAACUCUAUCCAGUGCCAGGACAUUUUAACCAAAAACCUGGUUGCCUUUGCUAGGAGGCUGGAACUUGGCAGCAGAUGGUACAUACAAUGACUGCAGAGCUUUAUUUUAAUGUCUUUGGACUUGCAACUACACAAGAACUGGAGGAAAAUAAACAGCCGAAAAUCACAGGGAAGAUGCUGAAUCUACUGAAUGUGAAUAUGGCGACAAUAACAAACUAUUUUGCAAAUGCUCAUUUCAAAUAACAUAAA